GAUGAAGAACGUAGCGAAAUGCGAUAAGUAAUGUGAAUUGCAGAAUUCAGUGAAUCAUCGAAUCUUUGAACGCACAUUGCGCCCGCCAGCACUCUGGCGGGCAUGCCUGUUCGAGCGUCAUUUCGACCAUCAGGCCCUCCGGGCUUGUGUUGGGGCUCCCUGCGGCUGUCCGCAGGCCCUGAAAACCAGUGGCGGGCUUGCAAAGUCACACCGAGCGCAGUAGAUUUUUUUCAUCUCGCUCAGGGCGUGCGUGCGGGCGCCGGCCGUAAAAGACGAGAGCGCGGCCUCGGCCGCCCACAAAUACCACAAGGUUGACCUCGGAUCAGGUAGGAAUACCCGCUGAACUUAAGCAUAUCAAUGAGCGGAGGA
RNAcentral lists this unclassified non-coding RNA (369 nucleotides) under soil metagenome. RNAcentral describes it as "partial contains 5.8S ribosomal RNA, internal transcribed spacer 2, and large subunit ribosomal RNA". The stretch from base 1 to 120 matches the Rfam family "5.8S ribosomal RNA", at positions 35 to 154 of the family's 154-position model. The record is from RNAcentral.